AUGUCUAUGCAAUUUCAAGAUGAUACAAAUGGUAUAUCUCCUUCUGAGGCUGAAAUUAGGAAUGAAAGGCCCCAAAGGAUAAAGCACCCUUCAGCCAAGAUGCUAGCCCAUCUAAUAGAUGAAAAGGAGCUCCUCCAUGUGAGGUUAGGUUCGGCAUGGGAGCGAAUUGUAACAUUAAUGGACAGAAUUGAGAGCUUGGGUAUUACAAGGGUGCCAUCCAUAUUACAGACAGACCUUGAAGAGACCUUCGGUAUUUGGAGGGGUUUGGUGUCUAAGAUAGUCCAGGUCCUCGAGCGCAUUAACGCCAAGGAUUCAGAGUUAGAAAUAGUGAGUGUCUUAGCUGACACUAAUGAGAAAGAAAAUAAGGUGAGGGCAAUUCUAGAUGCCUUGGAAUUUAGUUCUCCAUCUGUUAAUCUAAGGUCUGAGCCAAAAGGAAAUCAGUCUUCCUUAUGCAGCCAUGAGACCAAUCUUUUAAAAUCACCUGCUGUGGCACUUAGUCUUAAGUCCAACCGCUCUAGCCAGGUAUCUAAGCUAAGGGAGCGUGCAUCGUCUAAACACAGCCACUCUAGCAAGUCUUCUGCUGCUGGGAGUGCCAUCUCUUCCCUAGCUGCCUUGCACAUUAAGGAGGCUGCACGUCUGGAGCUACAGAGCAAGGUUGCGGAGGCGGAAGCUGAUGCAAAAGCAGCUGACCACACUUUCCACCUUAAAGAGGAGGAACAGCGACUCCAAAUAGAACAGGCCCAAAGGCAAUGUGAAAUAGAAAUGCUUAGAAUAAGGAUGGAUGCUACUGCCAAAAAGGUAAAAGCUGAGACUUUGGCCAAGGUCCUAAGUGGGCAACUCACAGAAGAAAAUGUAAGUCAGUUGCCGAAGCAGGACCCUUCUUCCAAGGUGCUUGUGCAUCUUAAUAGCUUAAACAGCCAGCUUUCUGACGAGGAACAUGAAGACUUCUCCGUUCGGUCAGAACAGGGCCCUAAAGUUGCCUUCGGGCUGCCGGAAGUUCAAAGCGUCAUAGCGGGGAGCUCCUCUUUGCUCAGUUUGCCUGUGCCUCCUACUAAGAUUCCCGAGCAGUCAGCCAAACCAUCAAAGCCUAUCACCAAUUGGGCCCUACAAGCAAGUCCAAAAGGAACCAUCUGUCCGUCUACAGACGAUGCCUUCCCUCCAAAGGGUCAAAGGUCGACACCAGGAGCACGGGAUUUCUCCCUGCAGCAGCCAACGCCACAUAAGACACCGUCAACACCAGAAUCCCAACUCGUCUCGAUCCUUAGAAGUCCCAAAAGAGACCUCAAGGACAAGGGAGUCGAAAAGUUUUCAGACAAGCCUGAAGAGUUCCUUCUCUGGAAGGUUACCUUCAAGAGGGCAAUUAGAGACUUAAAGUUGUUGCCUGAAGAAGAGCUGACCCUGCUAGGCGCCUGGUUGGGUCCAGCAUCAUCUUCUCAAGUUAAGAGAAUAUAUUCAGCCCAUGUAGCUGAUCCCGACAAAGCCUUGGAAAAGGCCUGGGACAGAUUACAUCAGCGGUAUGGAGCUAGCACGGAGAUUGAAGCAUCUCUAAUGGACAAGCUGCAAAGGUUCCCAACCUUAAAGCUCAAGGACUGCAAGCUCUUGUGGGACCUCAGUGAUCUUCUUGCAGAGUUAGAGUCGGCCAAGGAGAAUCCAGAGUUGCCUGGACUGCAGUGCCUCGAUCAGCAUCUGUCCCAGCGGCAGAUUCUGGACAAACUUCCCUUUGCCCUGCAGGAAGACUGGGGGAAACAGGUUUUUAACUACAAGGAGGCCCAUUCUCAGGCGUACCCACCGUUUUCCCAUCUGGUCCAGUUCAUCACCAGAGCGGCCAGGGAAAGGAAUGAUCCACAGACGGGCCUGCCCACCUUAUAUCAAGGGAUCCAUACAGGGAAGGCGCCUGAAGUGGACAAGAAACCACCUAGAGAGGCCAAUAGACCUGUCAGCGUAAAGGCAGUCGAAACUCAACACAAGACUGACAAAACCAGGUCAGAAGUAAAGGAGGUGCUCUGCCCCAUUCACCAAAAGCCUCACAGUUUGGCCAACUGCCGGGAAUUUGGCAAGAAGCCUUAUAAAGAAAGACAACAGAUUGUACAGAAGCUGGGCAUAUGUUUUAGGUGCUGUGGAGCAACUCCUCACUUUGCUUCCAACUGCAAAGAGGACGUCAAAUGCGCAAGGUGUAACAGCCUUAAGCAUUGCACCGCGAUGCACAACUCUGACGCUGUCUCCCGCGCCAAAGGGGACACGUCUUCCAAAGAAGGGUCAUCUACUGAAGCCACCAACAUGCAGACCGCGUCACGGAUGCAGGAGGAUGCUCCAUCGGUCGCCUGUACUGAACUAUGCUCUGACGUGCACCAGUUCAGAGUCUGCCAUCCCAUCUGCCUAGCAGAUGUAUAUCCAGCCAGAAGACCUUGGCUUAAAAAGAGACUUUACGUGGCUUUGGAUUCACAAAGCGACGCCUCCCUGGCGACUCCAGAGUUUUUCCAACUGUUUGACAUAAAAACCCAGACGGUCGACUACACCAUGUCCACCUGUGUAGGGAAGAAGAAGUUGCAGGGUCGCAUAGCAUCCGGCUUUGUUGUUUCCUCUUGCGACCAGAAGAGACAGUUCAAGUUGCCAGACCUGAUUGAGUGUUCCUCCAUCCCUCGGAACAAAAAACAAAUUGUAACUAGAGAAGUUGUGGAGGCUCAUCCACAUUUGCGACGAUUAAAGAAUGCCAUACCUGCUUUCCGUCCAGAUGUGGACAUUGCCCUUCUGCUUGGUGCGGACUGUCCGAACUUGUUCUAUGUGAACGACCAAGUUAAAGGACCUCCAGGUGCACCUAUCGCACAACAAUUGCCAUUAGGCUGGACAGUCAUAGGCCCAGUGUGCAUAAACAAGAUGCACCCACCAUCGUCGUUGGACUCCAAUCAAGCACAGGUGCUUAAAGGUGGACGUCCUACACUUGUGCGCAGUUGCCUAAGUCACAUCUCAGUCUACUGCCAAGGAAUAACUCCAGAGUAUUCCUCCACCUUCAAAGUCUCUGAGAGAGACGAAGCCAUAGCGCUCUCGAAAGAUGAGCAAAGGUUCUUGGACAGUAUGAAUGCUCAAGUCUCACGAAGUACAGAGGGAAAUUGGGUAGCUCCUUUGCCCUUUAAGUCAGAUAAGCCCACUUCGCCAAACAAUAGACACAUGGCAGGGAAAAGACUCUGGUCCCUAAAGAAAAGAAUCCAUCAUCAGGGUAGAACUCUAACUGAGGCAGCCCUUAGAAACGAAGGUCUGUGGGUAGUUAAUGCCAAAAGGUUGGUCAACAGUUGUAUUUUCAAAUGUGUUAAAUGCAGGUGCCUUAGGCGAAACUGUCAAAAUCGGUUAAUAGCAGAACUACCUCAGGAUAGGACUUUGACAGACCCACCCUUUUCCCAUGUGGGAAUCGAUGUGUUUGGUCCUUGGGAGGUUGUCACUAGGAAAACCAGGGGUGGUGUUGUAAAUAACAAGAGGUGGGCAGUUUUGUUUACUUGUUCAGUAAUACGAGCUGUCCAUAUAGAAGUCAUAGAAGGGAUGGACACUUCAUCAUUUUUAAACGCAUUAAAAAGGUUCAUAGCCCUCAGAGGGCCAAUUAAGUCAAUUCGGUCGGACUGUGGCACCAAUUUUGUAGGUGCGACCAAAGAACUCAAUUGUGUGUCUAGGUUUGGGAGAGACCCAAAGGUUCAGAACUUUACGAAUACUGAACAAAUUAUGUGGACUUUCAAUGUUCCUCACGCCUCCCACAUGGGUGGUGUUUGGGAGAGGAUGAUUGGUAUUAGUUGCAAAAUCCUUAAUGCCAUGCUUUUGAGUCAUAGGUCAUUGACGCAUGAUGUUUUGGUGACACUUAUGGCGGAAGUUACCGCAAUUAUCAACAACCGGCCGCUGGUUCCCCUUACCAGUGACCCUGAGAACUUACAACCACUGACUCCUGCACUUAUUUUGACACAAAAGGUGCCAGGAUGGAAGGACAUCAUGUUGCCAGUUCCGGACGGAACUCACCGUGCCCUGUGGAAACAGGUGCAGUCCUUGGCCAACCACUUUUGGAAAAGGUGGAAAGCUGAGUACUUAAGCCAGCUUCAAGCUAGAAGAAUCUGGCAAAGCCCACAGGACAACAUUGAGGUUAACAACGUUGUGUUGUUAAAGGACAAAGACUUGCCCCGCCAUGCAUGGCCCAUGGGCAUUGUAUUAAAGACCUUUCCUUGCCCGGACGGUAAGGUCAGGAAAGUUCAAUUAAAGACUUGCAACAGAGGCAAAGUGUCCAUUUUGGACAGACCAAUUAGUGACCUCGUGUUGCUUAUUGGAGAUGUUUAA
Molecule: long non-coding RNA, 4308 nt
Organism: Anolis carolinensis (green anole)
Lineage: Eukaryota; Metazoa; Chordata; Lepidosauria; Squamata; Anolidae
Source: Ensembl